Molecule: long non-coding RNA, 4808 nt
Organism: Cavia porcellus (domestic guinea pig)
Lineage: Eukaryota; Metazoa; Chordata; Mammalia; Rodentia; Caviidae
Exons: 3
Source: RefSeq, a predicted model, not a curated record
CCUCGCUCCCGCGCCGCUGCUCCGCGCCCCCCGCCUCUGUCGCCCGGCCCCGGGCGGGGGGUGCUGGCGGCGAGGUGGACGCGAGGCCGCCGGGCCCGGGGAGGUGGUGCGCUGGCCGCGGGUGGUGGAUCGCGGGUGGCGGAGGAGUCGGUCAAGGGGCCGCGCGCUGGUGGGGACGGGGCGAGGCGCGCAGAAUCACCGGGCUCCAGGAGCCGAUCUUGCGAGGGCGGGAGGCCUCCCCCCAGACGCCAGCCCCUUUCUGCUCCAUUUGCGAGAACACUCAGUACUCUUAACCUCCUGGCCUCCGGUCUCUGGUGGGCUUUCCCUCCCGUUGGAGCAUUCAUCCCGGAGCCCCCUCCCCUUCCCUCCGCGCACUCCUCCCAUAGAGGCGGUCCCAGCGCUGUGAGGUCUGCUGCCCGGGACCCAGAGGAUGCCCCUUGCUGGCAGGGUCUUUGCCCUGAGGGAUGAGACACAGAAAUUAUCCAGGCGGACUUUGAUUCCCAGAGUGGCCCCCUAGUGCAAUUCGAUCGACAGACUGACUCGUGGGCAGGCUGCUCAAACCACUCCUCCAGAUGGUUGCAACUUUCUCUUCUUCGACGUCGCCCCCUGCGUGUUUGUGCGUUAUCUUCAUGAGUGAAAAGUAGGCUGCUGUUCUUUGACAGGGUUGUGAGUUUUGUGGGAAAUAGCCGCGUAAAGGUUACUGCAAACACUCGCCAGAUCGGUUGCAAUUGUUUUCUAAGUUUUUUGGCUUCUUGUAGGCAUGUGUGCCUCCACCAGAUGUAGCAGUUACAUAGCUAGUUAAGGCACUGAGUGCUUUUUGACUAAAAUUUCAACUUGCUGUAUUUAAGUAUACAACAUAAAAUGGAAUUUGGGAGAACGAUCAUUUAUGAAGGAAGAAUAAAUGUGUAUCACAUCUCGUUUAACGCUCUUUUGUCUGGGAAACGAGUAGCGGUAUUCAUCAGCAAUUGGUAAAUGGGUUGUUCACUCCCAGUUGUCUCACACAAGGAGAUUAUAGGCACAUUAAAAAAAAAAAAAGUCCAACACCCCAGAAAACCUUUUAAAGAAACCAAGAGCUUCUACUUAUGUAGGAAUCGGUGGAAUUAAUUUAUCUUUGAAAAUAUCUGCCCAUAUUUACUAUUCAGAGCUUUGACAAUUGUUAAUCAAGUGUUUUGUGCCCUGAAUCCAGUGGUUCUGGCAUAGCAUUCUUUGUCAUUUUGUUCCUGUGAGCAUGUGUGAAAGUGACAAUAGGCUCAAAGAUUGGCAUUGAAUAUGCUGUAGAAAAUUCAGGGAAAGGUUUGAUUUGUGGCAUCCAUUAAACAUGGCCACUACAUUGACAGACAUUUUUUCCUUUCAUCUCAUCCCCAACACUGAUUUUCAUUAUUAGAAUAGAUAAAAGCUCAUUCAUUGAAUGACUCAAAUUUAACCCAACUGAUUUUUUCUUUUGAAAAUUUUAACUAUUUUAAAAUGUAUUUUGUGAAUAAGGCCAGUUUUUUAAAGCAUAUUUUUAUUUUUGUUUAUAGUUUCAUUAAAAUGUGUAGUGAUAGUGUUGUGAGUUGAGAAAGAUCAUUCUACUAUUUUUUAAACACUGCAAUUUUUUUUUAUCAUUCAUUCAUUUCUAUAGUGUUUAUUAGCCUUUAUUAUGAGCCAGGACCUGUGCUAAGUGCUGAGGACAUAGUGCUGAGUAGCUGUCAGUUAACAUCUGUUACAGACUGGAAUUUAGGAGACACAAAAUCUAGAUUGUAAGAUUUUGAGGUAACUUCCACUCUGUUAAGUUUCUAAUUUGUUUGUUCUUUUUCGCCUCAGUACUUUUUCUGAUGUUUGAAAAACUUUUAAGAGGUUUCAACUUCCAAAUAACCAGAACUAUUUCCAGGCAUUUAGUUUGCUAUAGAUAUUUUGUAACUUACAGUGUCAUGAAAUGAGACUAAAUUUUGUGAAAGUGAACAUCACACCAAGUUGUGUGUGUGUGUGUGUGUGUGUGUGUGUGUGUGUUUUGGGGUGAUAGGGAUUGAACCAGGGCCUUGUGCAUGGUAGACAAGUGCUCUACCACUGAGCUACAGCCCCAGCCCCACACCAGAUACUGUACUUGUGUGGCCACAGGGGAGAGGUUUUGUUUUUUUUUUUUUUUUUUUUGACUAACCAGCAUGUAAGUUAAAACUGUGUUAAUGCUCUAGGAUUGUAUAUUCAUUUCAAGGAUUCAAGCUGUAUGCUCAGAUUUCACUGAUGCUAACAGGAACUGUAUAUAUGAAAUGAAGUUCCAGCUUUCAAGAUGGGAGUUGUUUUCUAUUGAGCAGAAUCCUAGUUUUUUCCUUGAUAAGUGUGUGUUAGUACCUUUGGAGGUGUGUCUGUUAAUAUGUUGCAUAAAUUGAUGGGAUUUGAGAGCUUUUAAACCUGAGAACCUUUGAAUUCAGGUGACUGCUGUGUUAGUAACUUAAAGGCAUGUGAAAGAACUGAAUGUAUCAAAGCGAAAACAGACUUGUUUCUUGAAAAGUGAACCCAAUUUAGCCUAUAGUAAUGGAAAAAUGUAAAUUUAAAAGAGAUACAUAUGUAUGUAUGCUAAUAUAUUUGUGGUCAGUUCCUUUUAAGCAAAUUAACUUUAAAAAUGAGUUAAAGAAGGGGCUGGGGAUUUAGCUUGGCGGCAUAAGCCCCUGCCUUGCAAGCAGGCAGUCGUGAGUUCGAUCCCUGGUACCGAUAAAAACAAAAAAGAAAAAAAAAUGAGUUAAAGAUAUGUCAUAACUGUAAAAGUUAUUUAUUUUGAAGUUUUCACAUAUUUAAAACAAAACAGAUUUUUAUUUUUAUUGUUUGUUUAUUUAUUUAUUUAUUUUUGGUACUGGAGAUCAGACUCUCAACUAUGCGCUUGCCAGGCAGGUGCUUAUGCUGCUAAGCUACAUUUCUGGCAAAACAUUUUUAAUGCUAUUUAUUUUGGCUUUCUUUUCUUAUCUUCCUAUUAAUAUGAUUUUGCUUGAUUUAUAAAUUAAAUAUAGCUUUAACUAUUAAAAGAGAGAUGUUAGAAUUUAGGAAUUUGUAUGAUUUUUUUUGAUACCAGGGAUCAAACUUACGACCUCGCGGAAUUUGUAUGAUUUGUCCAUCAGUGAUGGUGAACCUUUUGGAGCUUUCAGAUGGCAACAAACAAGUGUCAUAGGUUCACCACCAUUGGUAUAGACUAUUUUCUUUCCUCUGGGUCUGAAAGCUUAUUCUUUAUUAACCUUGAAGUUUUGUUAGAAGUGCUCAGCAGUUAUUGCUCUAGAUUUUAGUCUUUUGAACCUGUAAUCUCUAUCCCAUUUUGCUUUGUCUUCUGUAAUUCUGUGGUUAAAGUGGAGAAGGAAAAAAGUAACUAAGUUUUUAGUCAGUUUUAUUUGUUGAAGUCUAGGAACCUAGUGCCAUUUUGGCUAGAUAAGAUGAGCUUUUGGUCUUUCUUUCUUUCCUUUUUUUUUAAAUGUCAGUGCAUGAGUAUUUUAACAGGUUAUUAUUAAGAAUUAAAUGAUUGACUUUACAAAGUAAAAUUUGCAUUUUCUUUCCUAUUUCAUCUUGCCAGGUAUGAAUAAUUUGUUGUUGUUUUUUUAAUAGUGGAAGUAGUUUGUUCCAAAAGAUGGCAUCAUAGUACAGUUAAACUACUUCCUUUUUUUCUACAUUUGAAGCCUGCAUUUCUUAGCUAGAAAAAUUAAAAUACUGUAUGAUUUGACUUGAUUGAGUACCUGUAGGGAGAUGUUAAAAAUAAAAAUGUACCAGAUGGUUCUGCAGGCCUUUGGUUUGUUGAAAUCACUAGCUAGCUGGGCAUGAGAGCUCAAGCCUAAAUCCUAGUGCUGCUCUCUGAGCUUGAGGUAGGAAGAUCCCAAGCCUAGCUUGGAAUUUAUUGACUUAGUAAGACUCUGUCUCUUUUCCCCCAGAAAAGAGAUGGGACUGUGGCUCAAUGGUAAGGCCCUGGGUUCAGCCCCCAGAACCUUGAAGACAUGGGGGAAAAGAAAUCACAAACCAGAAGAGAACAGAAUUGUUAUUAAGGGUUUUAGAUCUGGAAAUCUCAUGAGAUACAGGCUGUAGUUUAGCUUGUUAGGUCUCAGGACCUCUUUUUUUUUUUUUUUUUUUUUGUCUUUUGUCUUUUUCCUUUUUAUCGGUACCAGGGAUCAAACUCAUGACUACCUGCUUGCAAGGCAGGCGCUUAUGCCGCUGAACUAAAUCCCCAGCCCUGGUCUCAGGACCUCUUUAUCUCAAACGUUGUUGACGAGAUUUUGUUUAGGUGAGCUAAUGGCUAUUAAUAUUUGCUAUAUAUAAUACUAGGAAUUUUAAAAUUAAUUUACUUAAAGAAUAUUAACUCAUUGCAUGCUAUUUAUGUAAAGAAUAAGUAUGUUCUAGAACAAAAAUUUAGUGCAAUUAGUGUCAUUUUAUAUUUUUUGCAAAUAAUUUUGAAUUCUGACUUAUUAAAAGACAAUUAUAUUUUGCUUCUGCUUUCAGUCUGUUGCAAUAUAUAUUUUGUUUGAAGUAUGUGAAGAGAAUCCACCUUCAUAUAGAUAGGUAUUUGGAAAAGGAAGAAUUUAAUAGUCUUUUCAUGAUGUUCUUCUCAGGUAGUACAUCCUACGUUAACAAAUAGAAAUUUUUAUAAAAGGUAGUUGGCAAUGUAGAAGUACUUGUACAUCAAAACUCCAGGACCUAAAGGAAAUCUGUGGACAUGUACCUGAAAGAGACGAAAAGACUCAAGACCUCACACUUGCCAGGAAGCUCUGGGCCAUAACAAACAUUAGAAUUUGAGCAAAGAAUUUUACCUCACCUAUACAAGAGCAAUCUCCUUGUUAUAGAGGCUGUAUAACCUGAUGGGU